AGCGAACGCUGGCGGCGUACUUAACACAUGCAAGUCGAACGAGGAUCGUCGGUGUAGCAAUACAUUGGCGGUCCUAGUGGCGCACGGGUGAGUAACACGUGGGUGACCUGCCCUUGAGCUCGGGAUACCCCCUCGAAAGGGGGGCUAAUACCGGAUACGUUCCUUGGUUGAAAGACUGGGGAGGAAAGGUGGCGCAAGCUGCCGCUCUUGGAGGGGCUCGCGGCCCUAUCAGCUAGUUGGCGGGGUAACGGCCCACCAAGGCUAUGACGGGUAGCUGGUCUGAGAGGACGACCAGCCACACGGGGGACUGAGACACGGCCCCGACUCCUACGGGAGGCUG
This 340-nucleotide ribosomal RNA is filed under the name uncultured bacterium. RNAcentral describes it as "bacterial SSU rRNA". It matches the Rfam family "Bacterial small subunit ribosomal RNA", at positions 28 to 351 of the family's 1533-position model. The record is from RNAcentral.